This 82-nucleotide transfer RNA is filed under the name Candidatus Servula neotermitis. Its description in RNAcentral is "tRNA-Tyr". It matches the Rfam family "tRNA". Rfam says of the family: Transfer RNA (tRNA) molecules are approximately 80 nucleotides in length. Their secondary structure includes four short double-helical elements and three loops (D, anti-codon, and T loops). Further hydrogen bonds mediate the characteristic L-shaped molecular structure. tRNAs have two regions of fundamental functional importance: the anti-codon, which is responsible for specific mRNA codon recognition, and the 3' end, to which the tRNAs corresponding amino acid is attached (by aminoacyl-tRNA synthetases). tRNAs cope with the degeneracy of the genetic code in two manners: having more than one tRNA (with a specific anti-codon) for a particular amino acid; and 'wobble' base-pairing, i.e. permitting non-standard base-pairing at the 3rd anti-codon position. Lineage: Bacteria; Bacillati; Actinomycetota; Actinomycetes; Bifidobacteriales; Bifidobacteriaceae. The record is from RNAcentral.
GGCGGGUUACCCGAGCGGCCAAAGGGGGCUGACUGUAAAUCAGCUGGUUUCACCUUCGGGGGUUCAAAUCCCUCACCCGCCA